UUCCUGUAGGUCGCGCGCUCUUUUGAACGGUCCAAUUCAAACUGCAGCGCGUGAGCUUCCGUUGAAAUUCGCUGAGCGUUUCUCAGUAUGGCUCCGUGACAUUUUCUCAAUAAUGCACAUAAUUGUAAAGCUGUUAUGGAGAGCGGUUAUCACCGAGAAUUAUUAAAACUUUAUCGUCAUAAAACUUAAUGUACAUGAGGAAAGGCGAUCGUUAUUUAGGCUACGAAACGAAAACGAUUCUACACUGAACUGAGCCCAAAGUGUAUCGACAAACUACUCAAGUCAAGCGAAUUAAGUCAGAUUUACCGAUUAAAGUGCUGUUUGUCUGCCUGCCACUGCAUGUGUAACUGACAGGUGUCUGUCAAUGGCAUUGUAUUUUGGUACUUAAAUCAUCUGUUGACUACUCAUCAUACUUUACAGCUACACUGCAUGAAGUCAUUGCACAAGUCCUGCUCUGCUUACUGAGCUUCCUCAGAAGGGACUCUUUCUCUCCGACCUCCAACACCAACUUAAUGGAACAAGAGUUUGAAGUUUAAUAAAAUUCAAUGUUUAAGGAUUUUAACCUAUAAUGAAAGUAGGGCACUGACAAGACCCAUAAAGGUCCCUAUAUUGAAAAACACUGUUAACAUAGUUCCCAUUACCAUUUUGGGGCAAAGUGUUAAUUGUUUUGUCAGAAAUUAUGACCACAACUGUAUGCUUGUCUCAUAUGCAGGCA
Molecule: long non-coding RNA, 715 nt
Organism: Onychostoma macrolepis
Lineage: Eukaryota; Metazoa; Chordata; Actinopteri; Cypriniformes; Cyprinidae
Exons: 3
Source: RefSeq, a predicted model, not a curated record